AUCAGGAAGGUCCUUUCUGUUCUGAACCAGCAAAGAAUGAGUUUAGAUUGAGGGAAAAAUGCGACUAUUUGCUGGUGUUUUCUGAGGACUUCACAUUCAUGGUUCUGAUGGAGGAGAUUUGGACCGCUUUUAUCCUUAAUCUUCAUAUUCAGACUUGUUUUCUUUGAACUGCUGUGUGUCCUAUAAAUAUUAUGUUUGUAUGUUAAGUGUAUUAUUGUACCUCAAGUCCUAUUAAAAGUUCUUUAUUCAAGUACUGUUUUCUUAAUUUAUCAUGUUUCUAUGGGUGAGGGAAGUUCCUGACAUGCUCCAUAUUUAAAACCCUCCCUUAAAUCUGAAACUAUGAAGAAAAAAAAAACUUGCAACCCAGCCAAAAAACUUAACUGCAUUGCAGCAAACAAAAUGGUUUGCCACAAUUAACCUGCAGUUUUUCUUUUCCUUCUCUUUAUUAAAAACUGACAAUUAAGUACAAUUUACAAGAAAGAAAAAGCUCCAUUCUCCCCAAAUUUACAAACACUUAGGCUCACUAAAGCAUUGAAAUUAUUUGCCGCCUUCAAACCCAUAAAUACUGUCUCAAAGAGGGAGAAGUGCAUAAAAGUGAGAUACAAUGGUCAAUCCUUUUGCUAGUCGUCAUCUUUUUCAAUGUAGGUCUUUGCAGCAAGAAGUUGCUGGGCCAGAUCUCUCUCUGGCUGAUUUUACAGUCUGGUCACUGCUGUGUUUUGCAAAUUUACUAGGUUUCUGUUGUGCAUCACUUUGGUCCUCCGGUUCCAUAUUUUCCGUUUGUCUCGCUCAUUUUUUAUUUUUGCUGUCCGUUUUCUCGGUCCCUCUGAUCUUUUGCUCCUUUGUGGUCCCAUUCCCUGUCCUUUGGGCUGUUAUCUGUCUCUCUCUCUCUCACUUGUUCUCCUUUACGGUGUCUUUCUCUUUCUUUUGGAUUUAUCUCUUCUGUCUCAUUCUCUGUCUUUUGGGCUGCUGUUUCUUCUGUUCCUGUUACCAUGUUUGUCAUCUUUGUCUCUGUCCUUCCUGUCUCAGUCUCUGUCUUCUUUUCUGUCCCUGUCUUGCUCCCUUUGUCUUCUGCGGUCCUUGUCUUCCUUUCUCCUGUCUUUUGUUUUUCUCUUUAUCUUUAUACUUUGCUCUAUCCCUGUCUCUUUCUUUGUGACUCCUUUCUUUAAUCUCUUCCCUCUCAUGCUCUCGCGCAUCAUCACUAUCUGAAAGAGAGGAUUUUUUUUUUUUUUUUUUUGUCUGUAGUGCCGUUUUGAGUGAUUGCCAACCUGGAAACCUAUAAACAUGCCCUUGAACAUUUGGAAAGAUUAAUAUGGAAUCAGUGUAAAUGCAUGUACAUAAAUAUAGGCCUAUGUCAAAUAUAACACAUCCGGAUAAUUUUUUUUAUUUUUAUAUAUCCAAUCCGCUUUAUUUAUAUAGCACAAUUUAAAUAACAAGGUUUCCAAAGUGCUGUACACCACAACAAUAAAAGACACAAUAGGAUACAAGACAAACACAAUAAAAUAAAAGUAAUAGAAUAAGAUAAAACAACAUGAAAUUAUAGAAAUCAAAUAAAUAAAAUGCACUGCACACACAACACAUUUAAAUCACAUGAAUCACGAUUACCUGGUGUUAGAAGCCAGAGUAAAGAGAUGGGUUUUAAGCACAGAUUUAAAAUGAAACAGUGAGGAGACUUGUCUGAUGUGUAAUGGCAAUACAUUCCAUAGUUUUGGAGCUGCAACAGCAAAAGCUCUUUCUCCUCUGAGUUCUUUAUAAUGUUAAGGGCUAAUUCAGUCAAUUUAAAGGUGGUUGAAAUAAGAAAUAUAGUUCCUUUGUAAAGGUGUUGUUGGUGGUGAUGGUGUUCAAGGGUCAUACAGUUGGAAUCGUACGUACGUCAACCACAACCCAAAAUAUUGUGGAUGAUCAACACACGAUUUGAUAUACAGUACUGAGCAGGUGUGCGUUAAUAAGGUUUUCCUUUUUCAUAAGUUUUUUUUCUCUCCAGUAGAUGGCAGAAAUGAGCGAAUCGCACUUAGGGUUCAGCCUAUGGUUUUUGACCUGUGGGGGGCAGUACGCCUAGCGUCUAAACUCGUAGAUCCUCAAGAAGAAGACCAGUACAUAUAAGACGAGGCGAAAUCAGGAAGGUCCUUUCUGUUCUGAACCAGCAAAGAACGAGAGCGAGUUUGGGUUGAGGGAAAAAACGAUUGUUUGCUGGUGUUUUCUGAGGACUUCACAAAUUCAUGAUUCCGAAGGAGAUUUGUACCAGUUUUUAUCCUUGACCUUCAUAUUCAGACCUGUUUUCUUUGAACUGCUGUGUGUCAUAUAAAUAUAAUGUUUGUAUGUUAAGUGUAUUAUUGUACCUCAAGUCCUAUUAAAAGUUUUUAUUCAAG
Molecule: long non-coding RNA, 2366 nt
Organism: Carassius auratus (goldfish)
Lineage: Eukaryota; Metazoa; Chordata; Actinopteri; Cypriniformes; Cyprinidae
Exons: 5
Source: RefSeq, a predicted model, not a curated record